AUGCCCCAGAUCGAGUCGAGCAGGUCGGCCGAUGCACUAGGGUUCCGUUUGGUCAGCUCCGCGCCGGUUCUCCGGUUGGCCGCCCGCCCGACGAUGGAUCUCCCGCCGCUCUCCCACAAGGCGCUCCUGGGCUGCGACCUCUGCCACCUCGUCGUCCUCUUCGGCCUCAACGUCCACAAGGGCGACAUGAGCAUCGACGGCCGCUGGUGGUACAUCGUGCUAUGGGUUGCCGCCUCGCGCCGGGGCCUGGCCGUGGACUGGGACGUCCUCAAGGAGCGGCUGGUGGAGCUUCGUCCACAUUGUGCUGGAGCAGACCCGCCUCCGCACCGCCCUCACGCCCCACCGCUCACAGGUUGGUUCAUGUCCUACUUACUGCUUCCCUUGCUCGCCUUGCUGAGCUCUAUGUUCCUCUUUCCUUACGACUUUGCAACGUCCUAG
This 438-nucleotide ribosomal RNA is filed under the name Triticum aestivum (bread wheat). RNAcentral's name for it is "partial small subunit ribosomal RNA". The record is from RNAcentral. Lineage: Eukaryota; Viridiplantae; Streptophyta; Magnoliopsida; Poales; Poaceae.